This 654-nucleotide ribosomal RNA is filed under the name Triticum aestivum (bread wheat). Its description in RNAcentral is "partial small subunit ribosomal RNA". The record is from RNAcentral. Lineage: Eukaryota; Viridiplantae; Streptophyta; Magnoliopsida; Poales; Poaceae.
AUGCCCUGCCUCGGCACCCCCAAGGGGCCCAACCCUGUCUCCUUCUCCAUCCUGGACAGGGAGCCCCGGGACCCCGGGCGGGCGGACGCCUUGUACGUCAUGGGCAGGUGCUGCGACUACUUUGACUUCGAGGCCCUCAUGUACUGCGGCCCCUCCAGCGGCAGCAAAGGCUGGCGGUGGCAUCAGCUCCCGCCGCCGCCCGUGCCUCGCGCCGCCGCCUCCGCCGUCAGGUGCCACGCGCUCAUCCACGACGAAGGCGACCCCGUCCUCGUCGUCUCGUCCGCCAAGACGAGCGGCGUUGGCACCCACUGCUUCAACACCUCCACCAACAGGUGGUUCAAGGCCGGACGCUGGACGCUGCCGUUCGUCGGCCGCGCCGAGCGCGUCAGCGAGCUCGACAACCUCUGGUUUGGCAUCGGCGCCGGCUGGCCCUACGACCUGUGCGCGAUGGACCUCUACUCCCUCCGCGCCGGCGCCGGCGCCGAGGCUCCGGGGCUGGCGUACAGCUGGGGAGACCUUAGCCUGCCGGACGACUGGGUGAUGAUGGACUGCAGCAUGGUGUACCUGGGCGGCGGCAGGUUCUGCGUCGCCAAAAUCUUUGAGUUCCGCGUCGGCGAUGACCGGUUGGGGAUGGGCACUGAAAUUAGUAUGUAA